CAGCGCCACAAGUAGGAACCAUGUUUAUUUGGUCUAAAGCGUCCGUAGCUGGUUCAGUAAAUUUUUUGUGAAAUCAUUGGACUUAAUCCAAUGGAUUGCAGGAAAGACUGCUGAACUUGGAACCGGGAGGAGUCAGAGGUAUUCUUGGGGGAGCGGUAAAAUGCUAUAAUCCAAAGAGGACCACCUGUGGCGAAGGCGUCUUGCUAGAACGGAUCCGACGGUGAGGGACGAAAGCCAGGGGAGCGAUCCGGAUUAGAUACCCGCGUAGUCC
RNAcentral lists this ribosomal RNA (271 nucleotides) under uncultured archaeon. RNAcentral describes it as "partial 16S ribosomal RNA". It matches the Rfam family "Archaeal small subunit ribosomal RNA", at positions 477 to 747 of the family's 1478-position model. The record is from RNAcentral.